UGGGGAAUUUUGGACAAUGGGCGCAAGCCUGAUCCAGCAAUGCCGCGUGCAGGAUGAAGGCCUUCGGGUUGUAAACUGCUUUUGUACGGAACGAAAAGCCUCUCUCUAAUACAGGGGGUGAUGACGGUACCGUAAGAAUAAGCACCGGCUAACUACGUGCCAGCAGCCGCGGUAAUACGUAGGGUGCAAGCGUUAAUCGGAAUUACUGGGCGUAAAGCGUGCGCAGGCGGUUUUGUAAGACAGUGGUGAAAUCCCCGGGCUCAACCUGGAAACUGCCAUUGUGACUGCAAGGCUGGAGUGCGGCAGAGGGGGAUGGAAUUCCGCGUGUAGCAGUGAAAUGCGUAGAUAUGCGGAGGAACACCGAUGG
This 367-nucleotide ribosomal RNA is filed under the name uncultured bacterium. RNAcentral describes it as "partial 16S ribosomal RNA". It matches the Rfam family "Bacterial small subunit ribosomal RNA", at positions 355 to 715 of the family's 1533-position model. The record is from RNAcentral.